GCAGUGACACCUCCGCGCCCUGACGGAAUAGGGCGUUGAAGGGCGUAGGCUAUGAUGAUGCCAGGCAAAUCCGGCAUCGGAGCUGAAACCUGAAAGUACGGGGUCCCCUUCGGGGGAACCUGAGAGCGAGGGUAACCAUACUCCCGAGAAAAUGGGCUAAACUCAUGUUGGCGGUACCCGUACCGCAAACCGACACAGGUAGUUGGGUAGAACAUACUAAGGCGUUGAGAGAUUCAUGGCUAAGGAACUAGGCAAACUGACCCCGUAACUUCGGGAUAAGGGGUCCUCACCUCCGGGUGAGGCGCAGAGAAUAGGUCCAGGCAACUGUUUAACAAAAACACAGGGCUGUGCGAACUCGAAAGAUGAAGUAUACAGCCUGACACCUGCCCGGUGCCGGAAGGUUAAGAGGAGAUGUCACCGCAAGGGAAGCAUUGAAUUGAAGCCCCGGUAAACGGCGGCCGUAACAAUAACGGUCCUAAGGUAGCGAAAUUCCUUGUCGGGUAAGUUCCGACCUGCACGAAUGGUGUAAUGAUCCGGACGCUGUCUCGGCCAUGAGCUCAGUGAAAUUGUAGUAUCGGUGAAGAUGCCGAUUACCCGCGAUGGGACGAAAAGACCCCGUGAACCUUACUACAGCUUAGCAUUGACCUUGGUCAUCCGAUGUGUAGGAUAGGCCGGAGGCUUCGAAGCGGCGUCGCCAGGCGUUGUGGAGCCAUCCUUGAAAUACGGCCCUUUGGCUGUCUGAGGUCUAACGCGGAUAGUCGCGGACACUGCUUGGUGGGUAGUUUGACUGGGGUGGUCGCCUCCAAAAGCGUAACGGAGGCUUCCAAAGGUGCCCUCGGGCCGUUUGGUAAGCGGCCUUCAAGAGUGCAAUGGCAAAAGGGCGCUUGACUGGGAGGGAGACAUCCCGAGCAGGCAGGAAACUGGGGCAUAGUGAUCCGGCGGAUGUGUAUGGAAACUCCGUCGCUCAAAGGAUAAAAGGUACUCCGGGGAUAACAGGCUGAUCCCCCCCAAGAGCUCAUAUCGACGGGGUGGUUUGGCACCUCGAUGUCGGCUCGUCACAUCCUGGGGCUGGAGAAGGUCCCAAGGGUUGGGCUGUUCGCCCAUUAAAGUGGCACGCGAGCUGGGUUCAGAACGUCGUGAGACAGUUCGGUCUCUAUCUAUCGUGGGCGCAGGAGUUUUGAGUGGUGCUGUCACUAGUACGAGAGGACCGUGGCGGACAGACCUCCGGUGUACCGGUUGUGCCGCCAGGCGCACCGCCGGGUAUCCGCGUCUGGAUCGGAUAAGCGCUGAAAGCAUCUAAGUGCGAAGCUUUCCACGAGAUUAGAACUCCAUUGAGGGUCGUCGCAGACGACGACGUUGAUAGGGCGCAGGUGUAAAGACGGCGACGUUAAAGCCGAGCGCUACUAAUUGCCCAA
Molecule: ribosomal RNA, 1415 nt
Filed under: metagenome
Description: bacterial LSU rRNA
Rfam family: Bacterial large subunit ribosomal RNA
Source: RNAcentral